GAUGAACGCUAGCUACAGGCUUAACACAUGCAAGUCGAGGGGAAGCGACAUCGAAAGCUUGCUUUUGAUGGGCGUCGACCGGCGCACGGGUGAGUAACGCGUAUCCAACCUGCCCAUCACUUGGGAAUAACCUUGCGAAAGUAAGACUAAUACCCAAUGACAUCCCACGAAGACAUCUGAAUGGGAUUAAAGAUUUAUCGGUGAUGGAUGGGGAUGCGUCUGAUUAGCUUGUUGGCGGGGUAACGGCCCACCAAGGCAACGAUCAGUGGGGGUUCUGAGAGGAAGGUCCCCCACAUUGGAACUGAGACACGGUCCAAACUCCUACGGGAGGCAGCAGUGAGGAAUAUUGGUCAAUGGGCGAGAGCCUGAACCAGCCAAGUAGCGUGCAGGAUGACGGCCCUAUGGGUUGUAAACUGCUUUUAUAAGGGAAUAAAGUGGGUCUCGUGAGACUUUUUGCAUGUACCUUAUGAAUAAGGACCGGCUAAUUCCGUG
RNAcentral lists this ribosomal RNA (492 nucleotides) under uncultured bacterium. Its description in RNAcentral is "partial 16S ribosomal RNA". It matches the Rfam family "Bacterial small subunit ribosomal RNA", at positions 28 to 507 of the family's 1533-position model. The record is from RNAcentral.